CUCAGGAGCCAGAGCAGACUCAGCUGGUGCCUGCACCUGAGGAUCCAGCACAGGUGAGGACCCUUCAGGCUCAAGCCCCAGCCCUGGCUCAGCUGGUUCUGGAGGCGGGGACUCCUGUGCAGGCUGGGAUCCUUCAAGUUCAGCAUCUGAGUCCGAAUCCCAGGCCAUCACAGCUAUAUUCAACUGGGUCUGACUAAGAUCCUGCAACAGGUCAAAGUUGCGAAACACCAAUAGGAUGCCCAUCUGUCAGGAAUCAUUUAGCUGUGAUUCCAACAUUUCAGGGGUUGGAACAGAUGAGCCUCCAACUCUAUGAUUCUGUUGUCCUGGAUGACUCUGCAAUCCUCUUUUAUUGCAUCGACCUUUUCUCUUUUUUUCCUUUUCUGGAAUGUUUUCGUACAGGCCAGCUGUGCGUAUGGGCACCAAGCACACAAAACAGAUCUUAUUUGGAAAGGCAUGAAGCGGAUCCAGCAGAGGGAUGGAGCAGCAACAAACUUUAACAAGCCGUCAGAAGGCAUUCCCUUUUGAGAGUGUCCAGCCAUAAGCAGACAGGAUAGCCGGGAGAUGUCAAAUUUUGCUACCAUCUGCUGAGCGACGUCGGGUCUGGAGGAAAAUAACAAAGCCUGCAGACAAACGGACCCAGCCCCUUUCUCG
Podarcis lilfordi (Lilford's wall lizard) is the source of this 651-nucleotide non-coding RNA. The record is from the annotation of a GenBank genome assembly. NCBI's taxonomy places the organism in Eukaryota, Metazoa, Chordata, Lepidosauria, Squamata, Lacertidae.